AUUGAACGCUGGCGGCAGGCCUAACACAUGCCAGUCGAACGGUAACAGGAAGCAGCUUGCUGCUUCGCUGACGAGUGGCGGACGGGUGAGUAAUGUCUGGGAAACUGCCUGAUGGAGGGGGAUAACUACUGGAAACGGUAGCUAAUACCGCAUAACGUCGCAAGACCAAAGAGGGGGACCUUCGGGCCUCUUGCCAUCGGAUGUGCCCAGAUGGGAUUAGCUAGUAGGUGGGGUAACGGCUCACCUAGGCGACGAUCCCUAGCUGGUCUGAGAGGAUGACCAGCCACACUGGAACUGAGACACGGUCCAGACUCCUACGGGAGGCAGCAGUGGGGAAUAUUGCACAAUAGGCGCAAGCCUGAUGCAGCCAUGCCGCGUGUAUGAAGAAGGCCUUCGGGUUGUAAAGUACUUUCAGCGGGGAGGAAGGGAGUAAAGUUAAUACCUUUGCUCAUUGACGUUACCCGCAGAAGAAGCACCGGCUAACUCCGUG
This 490-nucleotide ribosomal RNA is filed under the name uncultured bacterium. RNAcentral describes it as "partial 16S ribosomal RNA". It matches the Rfam family "Bacterial small subunit ribosomal RNA", at positions 30 to 507 of the family's 1533-position model. The record is from RNAcentral.